CUUUAAAGCGAAAAUUUUAUGAAAUUAACCACAAAACUUUUAAGGAUUGCUUUGUCAUGACUCGUUCGUAUUGUACAAUCUAAAAAAGUGGGGAUCGAUUGAUGAGACGAGCCAUGCAAUUAGAUUAUUAUUAUUAUUAUUAUUAUUAUUAUAACUUGUUCCCAAACUUGUUCAAGCUGACAAUAAUAAUUGUGGGUUUAGUCGCUGUCACCGGUGAAAAAUUUGCCGCUCAAAACAGUCGGCACAAUUUUGGCUCUUCCUCUUUUUGAUGAAAAUGUACUUUGACGUUCGCAGUUUCCUAAAAGAAGAUCUUUUUGUUUGUAGAAAAGAAAAAAAAAAAAUUGCCAUCUUUAAGUGAUUCGAUUCAUACUACAAGUCUACAAUUAAUUAUUAUUUAAAUAAAACACUGGUACUAAUCUUAUCUAAAUAAAUACUAUGAGACAGAGACUUGAAACUCAGAGAAAAGAGAGACGCUUAUCACUUGAUGAAUGAUUGGUCUCGUGCAAUUUUCAAAAGUUCAAGAAAACUAUCAUAUUAACAAAUAUUUACUGUAAAUUACAGUUUCUAAAAAAAAUAUAUAAUUAUAAAAUAAAAAUUAAUACGAAUUAACCACUCGGGCUUAGCCCAAGUGGCUAAAGCCACUCACUCACAAAUGUGAGGGAAGGGGUUCGAGCCUCUGCAGACGUAUUGUAGGGGUUUCAUUUAAAUGUCCUUCCUUGAGCUCAAGAGCUUGAGUGAAGACAGUAUUUCUCCCAGACUGGGAGUUUGACAUCCCUCGAAUAUUUGAAAGGGUUAAAAAUUUGAGCGGUGCCAUAUCAGUAUAAAUGUCAACAGAUCUCAGUAUAUAUAUAUAUAUGAUUGUACAUAUUAGUUAUACUCUCAUGUAAUAUGAGUUGUAAUUUAAGCAAUAGUCUCAUGUCAUCGAAAAUUAAUACGAAUUGAAAUUUAAUACCAUAGGAGUGUUAAUGUAUUAAAAUAAAAAAAAAGAUUAUUGAUUACCGGUGGAUUACAAACUCUUCUUCAUAAGUACAGUCGAUAAUCUUGCUUAGUUAAUUGUUGGAAUUAAUCUUUAAAUUUAAAAAUAAAUUAUUUUCAAUAAAAUAGUAAAAUAAUAAAAAAAGAGAAAGAAAGAAAAAAAAUCUUUGAAAGCCACCAACUACAAUUCAAUACAUUUGUGUUGAAAAUCUCUAGUUCUCAAUGAAUCCUAAAUUUAAAACUUCAUUAUAAGUUAAGUUCUACAACAUAAACGAAAUUUUCUGAUAGCUACCAACUAAAAACUUAGAAAAUUUUAAAAUUUUUCUACGGAGAGUGAAGAUGAAAUGAAAAAGCGUUAUAUUAAUUAUAUUAUAUUGGUUCUCAAACUACUACUACACUAUUAUUUUAUUUUGAUUUGAACGGGGGAGGGAAGUUCUCAUUAAUACAGAAUUCAAUUAAUCGAAACAAGUUUCGAGCCAAUUGUACAGCGACAUGAUACAAACUCAUUAUAAUAUUACAAGUUGGACAAAACAAAACAAAACAAACGAAAUAUAAUUAAUUAAUGCCUAAUUUUAUAUAUAUGUGUCUGAUCUCAACAGAUUAAACAAGUAAUCAAAAGUAUGAAUUAGCCCAUAACAUAAAAUUAUUGAACAACUUUGAUUAUACAUUACAAAACAAAAACUAUGCCAAACAGUCAGUUGAUUAUUAAUUAAUGAACAAAAAAAUUGUGGUAUUAAAUAUUAAUUAGCCCACAAAAAAGAAAAAGGGGUUGUCGCAGCAGCACUCAUCAAUGAGACAGCAGCAACACAAAGCCGCAAGGCUGCAAAUUGAUAAUCAAACAUAUUAAAUUUUAACCCAAUUUUUAUCUAAGAAAUUUUGAACAUUAAUUAAUGAAAGUAAGAAAAAGGAAUCGAAGAGUAACUAAUAAAGUGUUAUAAUUAAGUACACAUACCAUGCCUCAAGGCAACCUCUGUUGCUUCACUGGAGGAGGGCCGUGAUAACGAUCACCUCCUACAAAUUCAAAUUCAUUCAUGUAUAUUAUUUCAAGCAAAUCAGACUGUUUUAACACGAUUUACUGUUCUUAAUUGCAAACGUCUGCAUGUUUUAAGAGGUGAAUUGAAAUAAAUAUAAUAAUAAUGUGUACAAAACGAUAAACAACAAUAUAUAGAUUAAAUUAUAUAUUUUAAAAUGUACAAACGACCGAGUAUUUUUUUAAUUUUAAUUUUAAUUUUUAUAGUUAGUACGUACCUUGAGGAUGGUAUGGAUACGCAUACUUGGGUUCAUACAUAAUUAAUUUGAUGAAGAGGAGGAGGCCGGCACCCAGCAAGAAUCGAUGGUGAGCUGUUGAAUUUCUUGAGGGAUUGGGAAAUGUUUUAAUUAGCUAAAAGCUGCAAAGUGUAAGAACGAAGAGACUUUGCUGUAUUGUUGUUGAUGAUAAUGAUGUACGGGUGACAAAUUAUUAAUUUAAUUUGUUGCUGGAUUUCUCUGGUAAAAG
RNAcentral lists this long non-coding RNA (2470 nucleotides) under Citrus maxima (pomelo). RNAcentral describes it as "long non-coding RNA (CMAX_LNC003275)". Lineage: Eukaryota; Viridiplantae; Streptophyta; Magnoliopsida; Sapindales; Rutaceae. The record is from RNAcentral.